GUCAGCUACAAGGCUCACCGGGAAUACUUGGCCACACAAGCGAUGAAAGGACUGUACUGGCAUAGGUCUCCCGGAACUGGAGACACGCGCUUGUAAUC
RNAcentral lists this ribosomal RNA (98 nucleotides) under uncultured Synechococcus sp. Its description in RNAcentral is "partial 23S ribosomal RNA". Lineage: Bacteria; Bacillati; Cyanobacteriota; Cyanophyceae; Synechococcales; Synechococcaceae. The record is from RNAcentral.